AUUGAACGCUGGCGGCAUGCUUUACACAUGCAAGUCGAACGGCAGCGCGGGCUUCGGCCUGGCGGCGAGUGGCGAACGGGUGAGUAAUGCAUCGGAACGUGCCCUGUAGUGGGGGAUAGCCCGGCGAAAGCCGGAUUAAUACCGCAUACGACCUGAGGGUGAAAGCGGGGGACCGAAAGGCCUCGCGCUAUUGGAGCGGCCGAUGUCGGAUUAGCUAGUUGGUGGGGUAAAGGCUUACCAAGGCGACGAUCCGUAGCUGGUCUGAGAGGACGACCAGCCACACUGGGACUGAGACACGGCCCAGACUCCUACGGGAGGCAGCAGUGGGGAAUUUUGGACAAUGGGGGCAACCCUGAUCCAGCCAUGCCGCGUGCGGGAAGAAGGCCUUCGGGUUGUAAACCGCUUUUGUUCGGGAAGAAAUCCUCUGGGCUAAUACCCCGGGGGGAUGACGGUACCGGAAGAAUAAGCACCGGCUAACUACGUG
RNAcentral lists this ribosomal RNA (484 nucleotides) under uncultured bacterium. Its description in RNAcentral is "partial 16S ribosomal RNA". It matches the Rfam family "Bacterial small subunit ribosomal RNA", at positions 28 to 507 of the family's 1533-position model. The record is from RNAcentral.